This is a long non-coding RNA of Vicia villosa (hairy vetch), 647 nucleotides long. RefSeq lists it as uncharacterized. Lineage: Eukaryota; Viridiplantae; Streptophyta; Magnoliopsida; Fabales; Fabaceae. The record is from RefSeq and is a predicted model, not a curated record. The transcript has 3 exons.
CUUCACAACCGCAUCACAGCUCUACCAGUACAACCACAGCGACCGGAAAAAAAAGGUGAUUGUUCUUCUUCUUCACAACCGCAUCACAGCUCUACCAGUACAACCACAGCGACCGGAAAAAAAAGAGUUGCAGGAGGAGAACGUGGAUCAAAGUAGUUGUACUCUUUCCUUAAGUUCCACCCUUACUCAGUGUACAAGUUUAGGAACAACGACAGUGCAGCAUAAAAAAAGUACCCUUAAGAAGAUGAGAAGGAUACUUCCCUCCACAUCAGAUAGAAUGGGAAUGAAAGAGUAUAAGAAUGAGAAGGGUUUUGCGGGGCUUACAGCACUGCAAUAUGGUGAAGAUUUAGCUGCUCUAGAUAUUACUGAUGAUGAGAGAUUUUGGUUACUCCACAACUUUAAUUCAGAAUGUGCUCAAUAUAUAUCCCUGGCAAAUUUUUCUCCUGAAAAAAGACUCCAUUUUUUUCGGAGAACUCUUGAUCUUAAAGCUAGAUCUGAAGCCGAAUGUUCCAGCCACCAGUCCUCCACUACUAGGUCUUCUAAAAGAAGAACAGAACCAAGGAUCAAUUUCUAGGUACACAUUUCCUUUGCAAAAUCUAUUUUUUGACUUUUUCAAAAUCUAUUUUGACCCAUGGAUUUCUUUAACA